Molecule: ribosomal RNA, 305 nt
Filed under: uncultured bacterium
Lineage: Bacteria
Description: partial 16S ribosomal RNA
Rfam family: Bacterial small subunit ribosomal RNA
Source: RNAcentral
ACAGCAGUCGCCGCGGUAAUACGUAGGGUGCGAGCGUUAAUCGGAAUUACUGGGCGUAAAGCGUGCGCAGGCGGUUGUGUAAGUCAGAUGUGAAAUCCCCGGGCUCAACCUGGGAACUGCAUUUGAGACUGUAUGGCUAGAGUGUGUCAGAGGGGGGUAGAAUUCCACGUGUAGCAGUGAAAUGCGUAGAUAUGUGGAGGAAUACCGAUGGCGAAGGCAGCCCCCUGGGAUAACACUGACGCUCAUGCACGAAAGCGUGGGGAGCGAACAGGAUUAGAUACCCGUGUAGUCCCUGUCUCUUAUAC